RNAcentral lists this long non-coding RNA (787 nucleotides) under Rattus norvegicus (Norway rat). RNAcentral describes it as "long non-coding RNA NONRATT002320". The record is from RNAcentral. Lineage: Eukaryota; Metazoa; Chordata; Mammalia; Rodentia; Muridae.
CAUUCGGACUAUUGCAGGCAUUAGAGCAUCCAGAGCUACGAAGGGCUGGCUGCAGCAGCACCUCCCUUUGUAAGCCAGCAGACCAGCCUUAACUGUGGGCUUGACUCCUGUGAGCUGGCCUCAGUGUGACUCAGAAAUGUUUGAUUAGCAGAUGAGAGAGCGAGGACACACCACGAGGGCUGCGUUCUCUUCCUCCAGCGCUGUGCAGGACAGUUUCUUCUCACCCUAGCCUUUUUAAAUGCACCAGAAGUACAGACAGUUGCACUACACAAACCCUUUGAACACUUGUAGAAAUCAGUCCACCGUAGAUUAGACAGAAUCACCUUCCAAUCCUUUGACUUCUUUUCCUUUCAUUUGAACAAUUGUAUAAUAAUUGACUAUUGUCAAAUUUUUGUCUGUGGUAGUAUCACUUUAAUUUAUCUUAGUACAUCAACGUUUUGAUUUAAAAAAGAAUUAAAACAACAAAAAAAGUCACUUAGAAGCCAUGAACUUUUUUUUUUGAUUGUCAAAUUUUCUUGUUUUGAAAAUUAUCAUUUGGGUUCACUCAGGAAAUGCAUGUCAAGAUUUGUAUUAUAAGUUAGCUGUGAUGUAUCAGUAACUGCUGGUUAUUACCCUUUUUUCAAGGAAAUUUAAUUGAUUUUGAAGUUUUUUGGUCACAACCUCCGUGACUAGGCAAGGAAACCAAGUCCUGUGUUGUGUUUUGUCAUUUCUGUUGAGGCUCUAUAUUGUAGCUUAAUUUUUAUUUGCAAUUAAUUUAUUCAAACUAAGUAAAUACUUUUCAAAAUAG